CGCGUUACCAAGUGAAUGCGUAGAUAUGGCGGAGGAAACACCGAGUGGCGAAGGUCAGCCUCCCUGGAUAAACACGACGCUCAUGCACGGAAAAGCGUGGGGACAAAACAGGAUUUAGAUACCCCUGGUAGUCCACGCCCUAAACGAUGUCAACUAGCUGUUGGGGCCUUCGGGGCCUUGGUAGCGCAGCUAACGCGUGAAGUUGACCGCCUGGGGAGUACGGUCGCAAGAUUAAAACUCAAAGGAAUUGACGGGGACCCGUACAAGCGGUGGAUGAUGUGGAUUAAUUCGAUGCAACGCGAAAAACCUUACCUACCCUUGACAUGUCUGGAAUGCCGAAGAGAUUUGGCAGUGCUCGCAAGAGAACCGGAACACAGGUGCUGCAUGGCUGUCGUCAGCUCGUGUCGUGAGAUGUUGGGUUAAGUCCCGCAACGAGCGCAACCCUUGUCAUUAGUUGCAACGAAAGGGCACUCUAAUGAGACUGCCGGUGACAAACCGGAGGAAGGUGGGGAUGACGUCAAGUCCUCAUGGCCCUUAUGGGUAGGGCUUCACACGUCAUACAAUGGUCGGGACAGAGGGUCGCCAACCCGCGAGGGGGAGCCAAUCCCAGAAACCCGAUCGUAGUCCGGAUCGCAGUCUGCAACUCGACUGCGUGAACUCGGAAUCGCUAGUAAUCGCGGAUCAGCAUGUCGCGGUGAAUACGUUCCCGGGUUUUGUACACACCGCCCGUCACACCAUGGGAGUGGGUUUUACCAGAAGUAGUUAGCCUAACUGCCAGGGGGGCGAUUACCACGGUAU
RNAcentral lists this ribosomal RNA (798 nucleotides) under Achromobacter sp. AKSH-4. RNAcentral's name for it is "bacterial SSU rRNA". It matches the Rfam family "Bacterial small subunit ribosomal RNA", at positions 670 to 1465 of the family's 1533-position model. RNAcentral also lists the same sequence under 2 other names. Lineage: Bacteria; Pseudomonadati; Pseudomonadota; Betaproteobacteria; Burkholderiales; Alcaligenaceae. The record is from RNAcentral.